GGGAACUAGCAAAACGGAUCGAGGACAACAAGAGGAGCAAGAAAGGUGCAUCUUCCAUGUAGAUCGGUCCUUUCCCCAUAUCUUCCCACUGCCCUAGGGUUUGGGGAACGACCAAGGUGGUAACGCUCCGGAUCACGCUUAGAGCGGCUGUCUCCUUCAUUGGGAGGCAAGUAACGUAGCAGUGGUUGCUACAAGCUUUAAUUUGCUAUUUUUGCUACCUCCACCUUGAAUUUCAGAAUGAUAACUUAUCCAAUAUCAUCCAUUCAAUUACAAGUUUAUGCACAUCUUACUGUUGUUAUUACAUAUGCCUUGUUCUUUACUUUAUAACUUGGUAAUGGCUCUUGUUGGCAUAAUUAUGAUGAGGUUUAUGUUGUCAAAUGAGGAAAGACUUAUCUGGUAUAAGCGGUGUAUACUCUCUUUGUGCGAUCUGUCUUGGCAUUGCAUUUCAUUGCAUCACAAUGCAUGGCAUAUGGAGUUAAGUCGCUGCUUGAUAGCUGCGAUCGUACCGGUACAACAUUGUUUAUUGGGCAUAACGAUGCAGCUUCAUACUUUGUUGAGUAUGAAGGCAGGAGACAUGGCAUUUGCAUUGCAUUUGCAUUUAGGGUGCUAUCGAUUUUCUAUGGUAUUUAUUUGGCAGUGGUGGUGAGAAGUGAAUUUUCUCCAAGGUUAGGUGAUGAAUUGGUUUUAUAUAUGUAUGAGGGUGUUGGAGUUAUUAUUAUUAUUUAUUAUUCAUUGAGGAGAUACGCUUGCUGAUAAUAGUUAAACCAUGGUCUAAUGAACUUGUAGUUUAAAUAGCUUGUUAAAGCUAGUUACUUGCUGAGAUUUUAUAUCUCACCCCCGUUUUUUUUAUCCUCUCAGGUACUUGAUGGAUGGAUGCUUUGCUUGGGGGUUGGGAAGUAGCAGCACGUCACACACUUCUCUUUAAUCAAAAUCCUCUAGUGUGAUGCUGUAAUAUUUAAGUCCUUC
Molecule: long non-coding RNA, 966 nt
Filed under: Setaria italica (foxtail millet)
Lineage: Eukaryota; Viridiplantae; Streptophyta; Magnoliopsida; Poales; Poaceae
Description: long non-coding RNA (SITA_LNC000971)
Source: RNAcentral